Molecule: ribosomal RNA, 495 nt
Filed under: uncultured bacterium
Lineage: Bacteria
Description: partial 16S ribosomal RNA
Rfam family: Bacterial small subunit ribosomal RNA
Source: RNAcentral
GACGAACGCUGGCGGCGUGCCUAAUACAUGCAAGUCGAACGCUGAAGGAGGAGCUUGCUUCUCUGGAUGAGUUGCGAACGGGUGAGUAACGCGUAGGUAACCUGCCUGGUAGCGGGGGAUAACUAUUGGAAACGAUAGCUAAUACCGCAUAAGAGUAGAUGUCGCAUGACAUUUGCUUAAAAGGUGCAAUUGCAUCACUACCAGAUGGACCUGCGUUGUAUUAGCUAGUUGGUGAGGUAACGGCUCACCAAGGCAACGAUACAUAGCCGACCUGAGAGGGGGAUCGGCCACACUGGGACUGAGACACGGCCCAGACUCCUACGGGAGGCAGCAGUAGGGAAUCUUCGGCAAUGGACGGAAGUCUGACCGAGCAACGCCGCGUGAGUGAAGAAGGGUGUCGGAUCGUAAAGCUCUGUUGUAAGAGAAGAACGAGUGUGAGAGUGGAAAGUUCACACUGUGACGGUAGCUGACCAGAAAGGGACGGCUAACUACGUG